AUACCCUUUUAACGAGCAGUCCAGAGAGGCUGACAAAGGGGAGAAACAGACAAUGCCGGAGGGGCCGGCAUGUCUGCAGGACCCUCUUUGCAUCAAAGAGGGCCUUUUUCAU
The sequence is a regulatory RNA element, 112 nucleotides long. It matches the Rfam family "PyrR binding site". Rfam says of the family: This family represents the PyrR binding site and terminator structure. This RNA structure is found upstream of a variety of genes involved in pyrimidine biosynthesis and transport. The alignment also includes a portion of the antiterminator structure. The record is from Rfam.